Molecule: long non-coding RNA, 13152 nt
Filed under: Triticum aestivum (bread wheat)
Lineage: Eukaryota; Viridiplantae; Streptophyta; Magnoliopsida; Poales; Poaceae
Description: long non-coding RNA (TAES_LNC023882)
Source: RNAcentral
UGUAACGUCCUCGAUGCGGCUAUAUCUCCCACGUGUCGAGGCACGACUUAGAGGCAUAACCGCAUUGAAAGCAAUGUCGCAAGUUAGGAAAUCAUCACACAUCCCAUGUACAUAAAUAAUAUAAAGGGGAGGUACAUAGUUGGCUUACACUCGCCACGUCACAUCGAAGUACAUAAAUAACAUACAUCAUCCAAACACUCAUGGCCCGACUACGGCGCCAAAACAAAAGACAACCCAACAAGCGACAUAGGUCCCGAUCACCCCAACGGGGCACCACUACUGAUCAUCAGGAAAAGACACAUAGUAACACUGAGAGUCCUCGUCGUACUCCCACUUGAGCUCAAGCGCGCCAUCUGGAGCUGUAUCAUCUGUCCCUGCAUCUGGUGUAAAAGUAAUCUGUGAGCCACAGGGACUCAGCAAUCUCGCACCCUCGCGAUCAAGACUAUUUAAGCUUAAUAGGUAGGAAAGGGGUAAUGUAUAAGUGGAGCUGCAGCAAGCGACUAGCAUAUAUGGUGGCUAACUUAUGCGCAAAAGAGAGCGAGAAGAGGAGGCAAAGCAUGAGCGGGAAAACUAGAGGGCAACCUGCGCAAACAUAACUCCAACACCGUGUUCGCUUCCCGGACUCCGCCGAGAAGAGGCCAUCACGGCAACACACCCAGUUGAUUCAUUUUAAUUAAUUAAGGUUCAAGUUAUCUACAACCGGACAUUAACAAAUUCCCAUCUGCCCAUAACCGCGGGCACGGCUUUCGAAAGAUCAAUCCCUGCAGGGGGUCCCAACUUAGCCCAUAACAAGCUCUCACGGUCAAUGAAGGAAUAGACCUCCACCCAAGACACACCGAUCAGACUCGGUAUCUCGGUACAACAAGAUGAUUCGACAGGUUAAAACAAGUCCAGCAACACCGCCCGAAUGUGCCGACAAAUCCCGAUAGGAGCUGCAUAUAUCUCUUUCUCAGGGCACACUCAGAUGAACACUACGUACAACAAAAACCAACCCUCGAGUUGCCCCGAGGUGGCCCUGCAAGUGGCUCUAUUUGGACCAACACUCAGAGGAGCACUGGCCCGGGGGGGUUAAAAUAAGAUGACCCUCGGGCUCCGGAAACCCAAGGGAAAAAGAGGCUAGGUGGCAAAUGGUAAAACCAAUGUUGGGCAUUGCUGGAAAAGCUUUAAUCAAGGCAAACUAUCAAGGGGUUCCCAUUAUAGCCCAACCGCGUAAGGGACGCAACAAUCCGGGAACAUAACACCGAUAUGACGGAAACUAGGGCGGCAAGAGUGGAACAAAACACUAGGCGAGAGGCCGAGCCUUCCACCCUUUACCAAGUAUAUAGAUGCAUUAAGAUAACAUGGCAUUAUAAUGAUAUCCCAACAAGUAAAUAAAUGUCCCAACAAGGAACGGCUCCAAUCUUCACCUGCAACUAGCAACGCUAUAAGAAGGGGCUGAGCAAAGCGGUAACUUAGCCAAUCAACGGUUUGCUAGGACAAAGGUGGGUUAGGGGCUGAACAUGGCAAUUGGGAGGCUGACAAGCAAGUGGUAGGCAUCGUAGCAUUGGCAUAGCAAAAGAGCCAGCAAACUAGCAUAGCAAAGAUAGUAGUGAUUUCGAGGGUAUGAUCAUCUUGCCUGCACAGUUGUCAGAGUUGACUGGAUCCUCACAAGCAAACUCAACGGGCUCCUCGUUAGUGAACUCGUCUCCCCGCUCUACCCAACAACACAAACAAGCAACAAGGAUACAAUCAACCACGUGCAAACUCAAGCAAUAAGAUGCAAUGAUGGUAUGCUAUGCGGGAUGCGAUGCGGGAUGCAAAAUGCAAGACGUGGUAGGAAAUGCAUGAACCUGGCCUCAACUUGGAAAACCAAGUGUGCCACUGGAAAGAGGGGAUGAAAUCACCUGAAAAUGAUAUAAAGAUCAUUGGAAUCGGAGCUACGGUUUGGAAAUGGCAAGCGUUUUACGAAAUGAACCGGUCUGCGAUUUACAACAAGUAGGCUCCUAAAUGCAACGAAAUGAACAUGCUACAGCCACCAAACAUGACAACAAAAUACAUGGCAGGGAUGUACACAAGAUGCUUAUCAAAACACUAGCACUGAGCCACGGCCAAAUUCAUCCAUUAUGAGGUUCAAACAAGCAUGGCAAAAAUGAAUAUGCAAAACAGAUUUCAGACUUAGUGAAAUUAACACUAGUCUGAAAUUUCAGACCAAGAUGCUCUCUUCGGAGCAGCAAAACAACAUGAUACAUAACCUGAACAUGACAAGUAAUACCAUGGCAUGGAGCUACUCAAUAAGCUUAACAAAACACCCAAAGUGACCUGGGGCCAAAAGGGUUCACAAAAUACUCUAACGAGCACACGAACAUAGAUGAAACACAAUCAGUUUUCAGACUUAGUGAAAACUGAGACAUGCUGGAAUUUAACUCACGAAGGCACGUAAACGAGCUCGAUGCACUCACUACGGUGCAAGUCAUGGCAAGGUAAGCAUAUAUCCAUAAAUAAGACACAAAAUGCUAGCUAGACAUGGCAAGAAUAAUGGCAUAGCAUGCAUGGAUCACUAACAAUAUCAUCGGCAAAAUCGCAAACAAGUUGACGAUCUGCCCAGAUUUACCACGAAGCAAAAGUAGAGCUCGAUUGACUCAAGCUAGAGCACUCCACAUAUGCAAACAAAGACAUGGAUGGAUAGAGCAUAACAUGAAUAUAAAAACUCCCUUACUGAUCAUCCUCAAAAGAGGCACGGAUCACUAGGAAACAAGCUGAACAUAUGGCAUCAUGAACUAAAAUAUCCCAGACUUAGUGAAAAUCAAUAAGUCCCUGAAAACAGAAUUCUCAGGUGCCUCUCUUUGCAAGCUUGCACAAGUCACCACAUACAUCCUAAAAAUGCAUGGGUGGCACCUCUGGAAAGAAGACAAAAUUCUUAACAAUUCAUCCCAAAGACUCAUAGGCAUAUCAUGCACACAAUAAUCAUGGCAAAAAUGACAAAAGUCUAUGAUGAACUAACGGAUCUGCAAUUUAACUCACGAAGCCUCCUUCUAGCAGCAUUACGGGCAUCAAGAUGAACUCAAAUUGAUAUAGACCGAACCUCGUGGCGAGAUCCGAUCCGUCGUUGCGGCCCGACCUUUCACGACACUCCACCACCAAUAGCAGUAACCUCUCGCCCGCGCACGCGAUGUACAUGAUGUAGAGGGUUUGAACCUUGCGGCCCAGCACGAGAAAACCAAUCUCGACGAAGGUACUCACGCGCAAAACAAUUUCCUCAUCGAGAAAUCGCAACACAGAGGUUUUCUAAAGAUCCCUCCAAAACUUGAUACGGGUGUCUACCCUAAAAACACAUCAUGUCUAUUUCAUAAAAAUAUAACCUCCCUUUACAUGAUCGCAUCCUCUACUACUUAUAGCUGAACCGGCUAAUCAACUUGACCCUCACGUAGAAGUAAUCUAUCCCUACAUGCAACGGAUAAGUCAAAAGGAAACUAAGACUAUAAUCUAUUCUGGACUCUAUACUAUAUUUAAUUAGUUGCCUUUUACAUCUCGGCAACAAACACCAUGUAUUUAUCUUCACUGUAGGUGGACCCAUCUCAAGUCCUUGAGAGAUAGAUGACCACGUACAUCUCCUUCCCGUACAUGUUUCUUGCAUGGUAAAAAUAGGAACAUAAAUCCUUCUUUAAACCUUCCUUUAACUCCUUUUAUAUCUCCAAGUAAAUAGUCAUAAUUCUUGGUUGCAUGCACCGAAUGAUUUUUGCCUCCAACAAUUGGAACAGAAUAGCAUUCUAGGCUGGCUUCCAUCUCAUGUUUUUCUCUCUUUAUUUCUUGCAUCAUUGUACGCAUGUCAAGUCCUGAAGUAAAUCUCAUCUUGUCCUGAGCCUGGACAUGUCUCUCCUUUUGGCCUAUAUUAAUUAUGUGUGAUGCAUCAACGUGCAUGCAAGUAUUAACUAGUGUAUCCUCGUCUUCAUUACUUGGCCGGAGAUACUCCGGUGUAGAUGCUUUCUAUUUUCGGAUAAUAUGGGCUUUAGAUGAAACGUCGACAACCUCAGUGUUUUUAUUACAGCGGGUCGUAUCAUCCUCUCCCCCUUGAACGGAAACCGUCCUCGGUUUCGACUCAAUCUCUUCAGCAAUAUUUUCAUGUACAUACUGAACAGUGAUGACAGAAAUUUCAGUAGCUUCAACCUUCUUCUUUUCUUCUUUUUGCUCUUUUAUCUUCUCAAGAUGUUCUUUUCUCCAAGAAACAAAACGCUCCUCACCCAUAGGCACAAGGUUGCACUUCUUACCCCUCUUGACAGUAUACGUGUGUGUUUUGCAAUCAUACGCCACAUCAUGAUCUUUGUACCAUGGCUCACCCAAUAACAAGUGACACGAAAUCAUCGUUGCCGGAAUCACGUCGCACAAAACCUCACAAAAAUAAUUACCCAACAAAAACGAUACCUUAGUUUGGUGCGUGACAGUGAGCUCUUCAUGACCCCAAUGAAACAAGUAUGGUUGCGGACGUGCUGUCACUGGAAGAUUCAACUUUUCCACCAUCUCGAUGCUUGGAGCGUUGAUCAAAUUCAUGUGAUCGAUCGUCAUGGCACAUGAUCUCUCUCUCACUACCACAUGGGUGUGAAAAAGCCCAGUCCAACGGCCUUCCUCCUCCAACUGAAAUCCAUAGCUUAACUUACUGAAUCACGAUGUGAUCGCCAUCUUCUCCAUAGUGUCUUGAACAACCUGUUGCUCUGAAUACCACCUGAUAUAGACCGAACCUCAUGGCGAGAUCCGAUCCGUCGUUGCGGCCCGACCUUUCACGACACUCCACCACCAAUAGCAGUAACCUCUCGCCCGCGCACGCGAUGUACACGAUGUAGAGGGUUUGAACCUUGCGGCCCAACACGAGAAAACCAAUCUCAACGAAGGUACUCACGCGCAAAACAAUUUCCUCACCGAGAAAUCGCAACACAGAGGUUUUCUAAAGAUCCCUCCAAAACUUGAUACGGGUGUCUACCCUAAAAACACAUCAUGUCUAUUUCAUAAAAAUAUAACCUCCCUUUACAUGAUCGCAUCCUCUACUACUUAUAGCUGAACCGGCUAAUCAACUUUACCCUCACGUAGAAGUAAUCUAUCCCUACAUGCAACGGAUAAGUCAAAAGGAAACUAAGACUAUAUUCUAUUCUGGACUCUAUACUAUAUUUAAUUAGUUGCCUUUUACAUCUCGGCAACAAACACCAUGUAUUUAUCUUCACUGUAGGUGGACCCCAUCCCAAGUCCUUGAGAGAUAGAUGACCACGUACAUCUCCUUCCCGUACAUGUUUCUUGCAUGGUAAAAAUAGGAACAUAAAUCCUUCUUUAAACCUUCCUUUAACUCCUUUUAUAUCUCCAAGUAAAUAGUCAUAAUUCUUGGUUGCAUGCACCGAAUGAUUUUUGCCUCCAACAAUUGGAACAGAAUAGCAUUCUAGGCUGGCUUCCAUCUCAUGUUUUCUCUCUUUAUUUCUUGCAUCAUUGUACGCAUGUCAAGUCCUGAAGUAAAUAUCAUCUUUUCCUGAGCCUGGACAUGUCUCUCCUUUUGGCCUAUAUUAAUUAUGUGUGAUGCAUCAACGUGCAUGCAAGUAUUAACUAGUGUAUCCUCGUCUUCAUUACUUGGCCGGAGAUACUCCGGUGUAGAUGCUUUGUAUUUUCGGACAAUAUGGGCUUCAGAUGAAACGUCGACAACCUCAGUGUUUUUAUUAUAGCGGGUCGUAUCACAAAUGCAAAUGAUGCAAUGGAAUGAAAUGAUGUACAUGUCGAGACGAAUAUUUCGAUAUAUUAUAUGCCCAAAACGGAGCUACGGAUGCAAAGAUAUGAAUAGUCAAAGAUAGCACAAAAUUACGGGGGAGAAGAGGGAAAGUCAACCCAGAUCUAGGGUUUCGGUACUGUAGCAAAGCACUAUAGCAGAUCGGCGGGGCACUAUAGCAGAUCGAAGAAGCUCGCCGGAAUGGCGGCCGCGGUGGCCGGAUNNNNNNNNNNNNNNNNNNNNNNNNNNNNNNNNNNNNNNNNNNNNNNNNNNNNNNNNNNNNNNNNNNNNNNNNNNNNNNNNNNNNNNNNNNNNNNNNNNNNNNNNNNNNNNNNNNNNNNNNNNNNNNNNNNNNNNNNNNNNNNNNNNNNNNNNNNNNNNNNNNNNNNNNNNNNNNNNNNNNNNNNNNNNNNNNNNNNNNNNNNNNNNNNNNNNNNNNNNNNNNNNNNNNNNNNNNNNNNNNNNNNNNNNNNNNNNNNNNNNNNNNNNNNNNNNNNNNNNNNNNNNNNNNNNNNNNNNNNNNNNNNNNNNNNNNNNNNNNNNNNNNNNNNNNNNNNNNNNNNNNNNNNNNNNNNNNNNNNNNNNNNNNNNNNNNNNNNNNNNNNNNNNNNNNNNNNNNNNNNNNNNNNNNNNNNNNNNNNNNNNNNNNNNNNNNNNNNNNNNNNNNNNNNNNNNNNNNNNNNNNNNNNNNNNNNNNNNNNNNNNNNNNNNNNNNNNNNNNNNNNNNNNNNNNNNNNNNNNNNNNNNNNNNNNNNNNNNNNNNNNNNNGGGCCAUGUGGCAGCGGCUGGUUGGCAGCGGCGGGAUCCGGACGUUGUCCGGCUCCGUCCGGACACGUCCGGCGGCGGCGGAGAGGGAUUUUAGGGUUUCGGGGAGAGGGGAGAUCCGAAAAUGGAGGGGGUGUAUAUAUAGGCAUAGGGGGAGCUAGGAGAGUCCAAAUGAGGUGCGGUUUUCGGCCACGCGAUCGUGAUCGAACGCUCUAGGACAUGGAGCAGAGUUUGGUGGGUUUUGGGCCAAAUUGGAGGGGUGUUGGGCUGCAACACACACGAGGCCUUUUCGGUCCCUUGGUUAACCGUUGGAGUAUCAAACGAAGUGCAAAUGGUACGAAACUUGACAGACGGUCUACGGUAGUAAACCAAGGCCGCAUGACAAGUCUCGGUCCAAUCCGGAAAUGUUUAAUCUCCACACACGAAAGAAAGCUAGAAAUGGCCACCGGAGAAGAACGAAGCGCCGGAAUGCAAAACGGACAACGGGGAAAAUGCUCGAAUGCAUGAGAUGAACAAGUAUGCAAAUGCAAUGCACGUGAUGCCAUGAUAUGAGAUGCACGAAAAUGAAAACAACACACGGAGACAAAGACCGGGACCCGAGGAAUAAAUAUAACUUAAUGCCGGAAACGGCAAGAGUUGGAGUACAAAUUGGGAAAGUUAUAACUGGGACGUUACAACACUCCACCACUAUGAAAAGAUCUCGUCCCGAGAUCUAGGACUGAAAGAACUCCGGGUACUCAGAACGGAGGUGAUCCUCGCGUUCCCAGGUAGCUUCACGGUCGGAAUGGUGUGACCACUUGACUUUGAGAAAUUUGAUUGACUUGUUGCGAGUCCUGCGUUCAGUCUCUUCAAGGAUUGCAACUGGGUGCUCACGAUAGGAGAGAUCUUCUUGGAGCUCAAUGUCCUCGAAGUUGACGGUGCGUUCAGGCGUCUUGAAGCACUUUCGGAGUUGGGAGACAUGGAACACAUCAUGAACAUUUGCAAAGUUUGACGGAAGCUCGAGUUGAUAGGCGAGGUCGUCUCUCUUGCUGACAAUCUUGAAAGGUCCGACGUAUCUAGGGGCAAGCUUCCCUUUGAUACCGAAGCGACGAGUCCCUUUCAUAGGAGAGACGCGGAGGUAAACAUGAUCUCCGAUCUCGAAAGCCAAAUCACGGUGCUUACUAUCAUAGAAGCUCUUCUGGCGGGAUUGGGCUGCUUUGAGAUUAUCACGAAUGAUCUUGCACAUUUCUUCUGCCUCUGUGAUUAAGUCAUUACCCAGCAGCUGACGUUCACCGGUUUCAGACCAGUUGAGAGGGGUAUGGCAUUUCCUACCAUACAGAAUUUCAAAUGGGGCCUUGCCCGAACUUGCUUGAAAACUGUUGUUGUAUGAGAAUUCAGCAUAAGGAAGACAAUCCUCCCACUUCAUGCCGAAGGAGAUAACACAAGCCCUAAGCAUAUCUUCAAGAAUCUAGUUGACAUGCUCGACUUGACCGCUUGUUUGAGGAUGGAAAGCAGUGCUGAAGCGAAUGUUGGUGCCCAUGGCCUUCUGAAAAGAAUCCCAAAACUUGGAGGUAAAGAUGCUGUCACGGUCUGAAGAUAUCACUUGAGGAAUACCGUGCAGAGAGACAAUUCGAGAGGUGUAGAGUUCCGCCAAUUGAGCUGCAGUGAUCGACUCCUUGAUAGGCAGAAAGUGAGCCACUUUGGUGAGCUUGUCGAUGACAACGAAUAUAGCAUCAUUGCCACGCUUGGACUUUGGAAACCCAGUCACAAAGUCCAUUUCAAUGUUGUCAAACUUCCAUUCUGGAAUGGCAAGAGGUUGGAGGAGACCUGCUAGCCUUUGGUGUUCUGCCUUCACUCUUCUGCAGACAUCACAUUCAUUCACGAAUUGAGCGAUCUCGCGCUUCAUUCGAGUCCACCAAUAAGUUUGCUUCAGAUCCUGAUACAUCUUCGUACUCCCAGGGUGGAUGGAGAGGAGAGAGUUGUGAGCCUCGUUCAUGUUCACUUUACGAAUUUCACCUUUGGGCACAACAAUUCGAUCCUCAAAUAAGAUAGUGUCCUUGUCAUCAAGGCGGUAGCACUUGUACUUGGACUGACUCUUGGCAAUCCCAAUCUUCACCUUUUUCACCAUAGCAUCAAGAAGCUGGGCUUGGCGAAUUUGGUCUUCCAAUGUAGGAGAAACUUGAAGGUUGGCGAGGAAACCUUGAGGAACAAUUUGCAGAUUAAGUUUGCGGAAAGCUUCACAAAGCUCGGGUUGAUAAGGCUUCAGAAUCAGACUGUUGCAAUAUGCUUUUCUGCUCAAAGCGUCAGCAAUCACAUUGGCCUUGCCUGGAGUAUACUCGAUACUUAGAUUGUACUCUUGAAUCAUUUCGACCCAUCGAGUUUGCCUGAGGUUGAGAUUAGGCUGGGUGAAGAUGUACUUGAGACUCUUGUGAUCAGUGAAAAUGUCCACUUUCCUUCCCAAUAGAAGAUGUCUCCAAGUCAACAAAGCAUGCACAACUGCCGCCAACUCGAGAUCAUGAGUGGGGUAGUUCUUCUCAUUAGGCUUCAACUGACGAGAGGUAUAAGAAACAACUUUCUUCUCUUGCAUCAGUACAGCACCUAGACCUUGGAGAGAGGCAUCACAAAAGACCUCGUACGGCUUGGUUUCAUCAGGCGGAGUCAGAACUGGAGCAGUGAUCAACUUCUCUUUCAAAGUGUUGAAAGCAAUAUCACACUCCGGAGACCAAACGUAAUUGACGUGCUUCUGGAGAAGAUUUGAGAGAGGCUUCGCGAUCUUAGAAAAGUUUUCAACGAAUCUUCGACAGUAGCUUGCGAGACCGAGGAAGCUACGGAGUUGCUUCACGUUCUGAGGAGGUUCCCAAUUAACAAUUGCAGACACCUUCUCAGGAUUCACGGCAAUGCCCUUGGCAGAGAUGAUAUGACCAAGAUAAAGCACCUCAUCGAGCCAAAAUUCACAUUUGGAGAAGUUGGCGUAGAACUGAUGUUCCCUGAGCUUGUCAAGAACCAAACGCAAGUUCUUGGCAUGAUCUUCCUUGUUCUUGGAGAAAACCAGAAUGUUGUCGAGAUAGACCAAAACGAAGUCAUUGGUGUAGGGGUUGAAGAUGAAGUUCAUCAUGCGAGAGAACGUCGGAGGAGCGUUGGCGAGGCCAAAAGACAUGACAGUGUAUUCAUAUGACCCAUAGCUUGUUUUGAACGCCGUCUUGGGAAUAUCUUGCUCACGGAUUCGAAUCUGAUGAUAACCCAUACAGAGAUCAAGCUUGGAGAAAACUUGGGCACCCUUGAGUUGUUCGAAUAGCUCAUUGAUGUUGGGAAGUGGGUAUUUGUUCUUGAUGGUCUUCUUGUUCAAUGGACGAUAAUCAACACAAAGUCGGUCCGUUCCAUCCUUCUUCUUCACAAAAAGAACACCACAACCCCACGGAGAAGUACUAGGACGAAUGAGACCCAUUCUUUCUUGAACAUCGAGUUGUUUCUUCAACUCCUUCAACUUUUCAGGGCCAAGCUUGUAGGGACGUUUGCACACAGGUUCCGUACCGGGCUCAAGUUCAAUAACAAAUUCAACGGGCCGGUGCGGAGGCAUUCCUGGGAGCUCUUCUGGGAAGACGUCUUGAUACUCACAAACAACCCGAAUCUGCGAAAUAGCAUCCAAUUCACCCUUCUCAUUGAGAGAAACAACCGGAUUGUAUCAUCAUGAGCGGCAAAGACAAUGACAUGCUCAGAUGAAUGAGUCAGUUGAAUCUGCCUGGCUGCACAAUCGAGGUGAGCCUUGUGCUUAGAGAGCCAGUCCAUCCCAAGAAUAAGAUCGAUAUCCGAAUUACCAAGAACCACCGGAGAAGAGAGAAAUUUGUAAUCGCCCAACGUGAUAGAGACAUCCGGGACGCAAUUGUUAGAAGUCAUUUGCUUGCCCGGAGACACAAUCUUCAACGGAACAGGAAUCCUUUCGGUCACAAAAUCAUGCUUGGCCACAAAUGGAGUUGAAAUAAAAGAAAGCGAUGCACCAGUAUCAAAAAGUACUUUAGCGGGAACAUCGUUAACAGGAAGGUUACCCGUGAUCACAUCUGGCGAGUCCUCUGCCUGAGCUGCAUUCAGCAAGUUGACCUUGGCGGACUUGGGGUUAUGCUUGACCACAGCUGUACUUGCUGAUCUGACAGGAGGAGGAGGAGGAAGACGCCUCUGGUUGAAACACUUGUUGGCGUAGUGACCCUUCUGUUGGCACUUGUUGCACGUGACCUCUGAGAGUGGACGGUGGUACGGAGCACUUGAUCUUGGAGCUUGAGACAAAGUCUUGUUCUGAAAGCCUGGGUUGGGUGGGUGGGAAGAACCACUGCCACCUUUGCUCUUCUGCUGAUACAGCUGACGGAACGGAGGAGGAGGAAGCCAAUACUUCUGCUGCUUGGCCACUUGAGUAGAGGAAGAAGGCGUAGUGUCUCUAACUCGCUUCCUGGAAGCAUCACACCUCAACUGAGCAGCCUCUUGCUUCAGUGCCAUGUUGUAGAACUCAUCAUACCUCAACGACUCAAAAAGGACAAGAGCGAGCUGAAUUUCUUCACGGAGACCACCCCUGAACUGAUAUAUCAUGCUCUUCUCAUCAGGAACAUCCUGCUUGGCAAAACAGGCGAGCUUCCGGAACAACUUGUUGUAGUCAUAGACAGACAAAGAGCCUUGCUUCAGAUUGCGAAAUUCUUCACGUUUGCUUUCAGUCACACUCUGAGGGAUGUGAUGAGCUCGGAAAUCUCGACGGAAAUCAUCCCAAGUGAUCAAACGUCCACCUCUGGAAUCCUUGUACUGCUGGAACCACUCUGCAGCCUGAUCUUUGAGCUGGAAAGAAGCGAACUUGACGAAAUCUUCAGGCCUGACGUUGCUGCAUUCAAAAUGCUUGCCCAGAUCCACUAGCCAAUCGUCAACAUCGGUAGCCUCAACACAAUUGCUGAACGUCUUUGGACCUUUAGCGAGUAACUGGUUCAGAGUAGCAAAAUGGUUUUGAUUGUUGCCUUGAUUCCCUUGACUGCUUUGAUUGCGCUCUUGGAGUAUUUGCAUGAUCAACUGUGUAUUUGCAUUGGUUGCGGCCAUCACAGCUUGCCAAGCCUCCGGAGGAGGUGGAGGUGGUGGCGGAUCAGGAUUCGGAGUCGUGCGCGUUGGAGGAGCCAUCCUAAAGAGGUUGACCACCAUUAGCACACAAAUAGACAAAAAUUGAAGGUGAGUCCAACGGAAUGAAAAUUGCAACAUAAAGUCUUCACAUCCGAACAAAAUGAACGAAUGCACUUCUCUUGAAGUGGUCACAUAUUCCUAAAUUGCGAAGCCACAUAGAAUUAGAUAGAAGAGGCAAAUCAACAAGGGAUGGAAUCAACAUAUGACAUCGAAGCAACUCGAAUACCACAACUCAAAUAAAACCAAGGAUUGGCUUGCUAAAUAAGCCGGAACAAACAUAUGAUAGAGAUUUCGUCCGAAGUUUUCAUGGUGGGACCUACACGGGCUCGAUCGUACAGCACCAUCAUGUACAAGGCAGUGCACAUGACAUACGAAGCGUCCCCGAGUCAGCAUAGCCAAGGACUCUUUAAGACACAACGAGACCACUGUAAAAUCGACCGUGAAUUGGCGAACCACUAGACGUCGAACCCCAAUUUCAUAUCAUACAUCUGUCGGAAAGAUAUCCUAAGAGCUACUUGAAUUCCCACCUAUGAAACUCCCGAAACUUUCCGGUUAUGCAAUCAGGUGUUGGGGAUAUAGGGGAAGCAUAAUAUCUCACCCAAACUAGCAAUACCUACAUCCAGCUGUAUCCAUCCUUCAACACAUAACCAAGAAACCUUCGGAAAUCAUCUACCUCAACCUUCGAAAAGCAUCCGUUAUAUGAGUUAUGGCGAUACUCCCGAACUCCCACCCCAGUACUGGGUGGCGUCGAGGUUAUCUCACCAACGAACUGCAUAAAGGAGAUUUUCGAUGUCGCGAACAUAUCUCAAGUAUACCAGAAUUGCAACGAUAAAAUUAUGAUGACAACACCUCAGAGCUCAACUCCCCGGGACACUUCCACUAAACCCCUGACAGGAGGCACCAAGACAGUAUUCUCAUCAUAAGCCAUCGGAACAAAUCCAAUAUACUCGCGUGAUCCUAAAUUUUUUCUUUAGUGAAAUUUGAGAAGAGAAGAGUCAAAACUCUACGUCAGGAUGCCUUACCAGAGCGAUGAAGAGACUGGGAAGUAAAAAGAAUUCCUAAGCUCUCCGAUAUAUAAUUCCUAAAUGACUCAAAACAUUUUUCUAGACACAACUCGGCUGCUAAAAACGAUCAAACAGUGGGGGCUCCUAAGGUCGGGGAAGGCUCUGAUUACCAACUUGUAACGCCCUCGAUGCGGCUAUAUCUCCCACGUGUCGAGGCACGACUUAGAGGCAUAACCGCAUUGAAAGCAAUGUCGCAAGUUAGGAAAUCAUCACACGUCCCAUGUACAUAAAUAAUAUAAAGGGGAGGUACAUAGUUGGCUUACACUCGCCACGUCACAUCAAAGUACAUAAAUAACAUACAUCAUCCAAACACUCAUGGCCUGACUACGGCGCCAAAACAAAAGACAACCCAACAAGCGACAUAGGUCCCGAUCACCCCAACUGGGCACCACUACCGAUCAUCAGGAAAAGACACAUAGUAACGCUGAGAGUCCUCGUCGUACUCCCACUUGAGCUCAAGCGCGCCAUCUGGAGUUGUAUCAU